RNAcentral lists this ribosomal RNA (253 nucleotides) under uncultured bacterium. RNAcentral's name for it is "partial 16S ribosomal RNA". It matches the Rfam family "Bacterial small subunit ribosomal RNA", at positions 524 to 776 of the family's 1533-position model. The record is from RNAcentral.
UACGUAGGUGGCAAGCGUUGUCCGGAUUUAUUGGGUUUAAAGGGUGCGUAGGCGGCCUAUUAAGUCAGUGGUGAAAUAUCUCAGCUUAACUGAGAAGGUGCCAAUGAUACUGAUGGGCUUGAGUACAGAUGAGGUAGGCGGAAUUGACGGUGUAGCGGUGAAAUGCUUAGAUAUCCGGAGGAACACCGGUGGCGAAGGCGGCUUCCUGGACCGACACUGACGCUGAGGCGCGAAAGCGUGGGGAGCGAACAGG